RNAcentral lists this long non-coding RNA (15753 nucleotides) under Triticum aestivum (bread wheat). RNAcentral describes it as "long non-coding RNA (TAES_LNC020392)". The record is from RNAcentral. Lineage: Eukaryota; Viridiplantae; Streptophyta; Magnoliopsida; Poales; Poaceae.
CCGAGUAAGUAGGUUGUUUGCGUAUGGGAGUAAAAGAGGACUUGAUGCCUUAUAAUGCUAUGGUUGGGUUUUACCUUAAUGAUCUUUAGUAGUUGUGGAUGCUUGCUAGAGUUCCAAUCAUAAGUUCAUAUGAUCCAAGAAAAGAAAGUAUGUUAGCUUAUGCCUCUCCCUCAAAUAAAAUUGCAAUAAUGAUUACCUGUCUAGUUAUCGAUUGUCUAGGGACAAAUAACUUUCUCGUGACAAAAAGCUCUCUACUGAAACUAAUUUAGUUGUGUAUUUAUCUAAACAGCCCCUAGCUUUUAUUUACGUGCUCUUUAUUAUCUUGCAAACCUAUCCAACAACACCUACAAAGUACUUCUAGUUUCAUACUUGUUUUAGGUAAAGCGAACGUUAAGUGUGCGUGGAGUUGUAUCGGUGGUCGAUAGAUCUUGAGGGAAUAUUUGUUCUACCUUUAGCUCAUCAUUGGGUUCGACACUCCUACUUAUCGAAAGAGGCUACAAUUGAUCCCCUAUACUUGUGGGUUAUCAAGACCUUUUUCUGGCACCGUUGUCGAGGAGCAAUAGCGUGGGGUGAAUAUUCUCGUGUGUGCUUGUUUGCUUUAUCACUAAGUGGAUUUUAUUUGAUGUUCUAAGUUGUUCUCUAUCUUUAGUUAUGGAUAUGGAACACGAAAUACCAAAAAAAUAGGUUUACUUGCUACUCUUGGAGAUGGGGAACCUCCUAAAACCCUCGAUGCUCAUUAUGUGCAAGAUAUUAUGCACUACUUUAAUAAUCCUGAGAAAACCCCAUUCAAUUAUAUAAUGGGAGACACGUUGGAUCAACGUGAAUACUUUAGGGAUUACUGCUUGACUCAAAAACGGAAGCUAUUAUGGGAUCAAAUUUAUAUGUUGCAUUGGUAUGCUCCAACUAUGCUUGAGAUAUGAUUAUACUUGUUGCUCUAGGAUGAAAGCUCCACACCUUCCCUUUUCAUGCAAAUUUAAUGAUAAUGAAACCUUAGCUUCUUACGCUAAUGGUAUAUAUGAUUACUAUGAUGUGGAACGAAAAGAAGAAUCCACAACUACUUGUGAAAUUGAAUCUUUGUUUAAAGAGUUUGAAGAUUUUGAUGAUUCAGUUUAUAGACCUGAAAAUUUAGCUAUCCUUAAAUAUUGCUAUGAGAAUUAUAAAUACAAUUAUGAUAUUGAUGAAUUUAUUGAGAAAGUCUCCGCUGUCCGAGAAGGGACUAAUAUUUUUGCAGGAGUCUAUGGAAGAAGAAAUUGAUGAAACUAUGAGCUCAUUGGAUGAAAAAGAUGAUGAGGAGAGCGAAGAAUGGAAGGAGGAAGAUCGGAUUAGCUACCCGUUCCCACCUUCUAAUGAGGGUAACUCUCCAACUCAUACAUUAUUUAAUGUCCCUUCGUUCUUACUGAAGGAUGAAUGCCAUGAUAAUUGCUAUGAUCCCGUUGAUUCGUUUGAAAUAUCCCUUUUUGAUGAACUUGAUGCUCGCUAUUCUUGUGGCCAAGAUGCCAAUAUGAAUUAUUCUUAUGGAGAUGAACUUUCUAUUGUUCCUUAUGUGAAACAUGAAAUUAUUUCUAUUGAACGCACACAUGAUAGUCCUCUUAUCUUUUUGAAUUCUCCAAACUACACUUUAUCGGAGAAGUUUGCAUUUAUUAAGGAUUAUAUUGAUGGGUGGCCUUUUACCGUUGCACAUGAUAAUUUUGAUGAAUAUAAUAUGCAUGUGCUUGAUGCUCCUACUUGCAAUUAUUAUGACAUAGGAACUACAUCUCUACCUCUCUAUGUUUCCAACACGAUAAAAUUGCAACAAACUUCUUAUGCUGUGCAUUGGCCUUUACUUGAUGUGCAUGAAUUGUUCUUGUAUGACAUGCCAAUGCAUAGGAAGAGAGUUAGACUUCGUCAUUGCUUGAUAUAUGUUUCUUUGUGCUAACUACUAAAUGCCAAAUCAUUGCUAAUUCAAAUUGGCUUUGAUAUACCUUGGGAUCCGGGUGGAUUCAUUACUUGAGCACCUUAUGCCUAGCUUAAUGGCUUUAAAGAGAGCGCUACCAGGGAGAUAGUCGGAAGUUUUAGAGAGUCAUUUAUUUCUGUUGAGUGCUUUUAUAGAGUUUAAAAACAAAAAAAUAAAGAGGGAACCCAAACCUUUUCAAAAAGGAAAGUGAAAGUGAGAGAGACAAGCAUUGUUGAAGUGAGGGAGCUCCUUGAACUUUGUUCAUGCUCACGGAAACUUUGUGAAUCUUGAUUACAGAAACUUUUCAACAAAAAUAAUUAUCCCCUUGUACAAUUCCAUUGUAUUAUAAAAAAUAAUGUGCCAAGAUUUGCCUUUAGGAUGUUUACAUUGCUUGUUGCUUUGUGCGGUGCAAAACAGAAACUUUGGCUGUAGUGUGCGAUUUUACAUUUUUUUACUAGAACAUCAAACGGUUCUGAAACUUUUUGCACUGUCUUUCUAUAAAAAAAUUAUUUUUCCUAAUUUUUUCAGAAUUUUUGGAUUACCAUAAGUAUGGUGAAUGUUCAGAUUACUACAUACUGUCCUGUUUCUGACAUAUUCUGUUUUUCGUGCAUUGUUUGCUUGUUUUGAUGAAACUAUCAAUUUCUAUCAGUAGAUUAAGCCAUGGAGAAGUUAUAUUACAGUAGCUAAAAUGCAAAAACAAAAUAUGAAUUGGUUUGAAACAGUACUUAGAGUAGUGAUUUGCUUUAUUAUACUAACGGAUCUUACCGAACUUUCUGUUGAGUUUUGUGUGGAUGAAGUGAUCAAGGAUCGAGGAGGUCUCGAUAUGAGAAGGAGGAGGAGAGGCAAGAGCUCAAUCUUGGGGAUUCCCAAGGCAACCCAAGUAAAUAUUCAAGGAGACUCAAGCAUCUAAGCUUGGGGAUGCCCCAGAAGGCAUCCCAUCUUUCUUCAACCAGUAUCGGUAUGUUUUCGGUUUCGUUUCGUUCAUGUGAUAUGUGCAAAUCUUGGGGCGUAUUUUGCAUUCAGUUUUCACUUUUCUUUGAUGCACCAUGCUGGUAUGAGAUAGUCCAUGGUUGAUUUAUAUAAUGCUCAUUGCACUUCACUUAUAUCUUUUGAGUAUGGCUUUCUAGAAUGCUUCAUGUGCAUCACAUAUAUCAUUUGAAGUUUGGAUUGCCUGUUUCCCUACACAUAGAAAACCGCCAUUUGUAGAAUGCUCUUUUGCUUAACUUAUAUUUGUUAGAGCAUGGGCAUAUCUUCUGUAGAAAGAAUUAAACUCUCUUCACUAGUACAGCGAGCUCCUAAACAAACGGUUUUUAACCCCUUUCCGCGACGGCAUUUGGAACCGUCGCCAAGUGAGUGUGGGCGAUAGGGGGGUCCUUCCCACACGACCCAGAAACCAUCGGGGAUAUGCCCUCCUGGCACACACGUUCGGCAAAAUGAGGUCGUGUGUGACCGGCGAGCGCUCAAAUACGGAAAUACGUACAAUAGAGCUAAAAAUACAAUUAUAUGGCGAAAUUAUUUCUGGUCGCAAGUACAUCCCACACAGUCACUCCCCACUAAACGUUUCCGUUCGUACGUACAUCCCACAUAGUCGCUCCAAGAAAAACGUUUCCGUUCACAGGUACAUCACACACAAUUUUUCCUGCUAAAUCGCUUGCAUUAUUGAAUAUAUCACACACGGUCCAUGGAAGAAACUGUGUGGCAAAGGUUGUCAUCACACACAGUUUUCAUGUGGUAAACAUUUGCGCAAGGUGGCCUAACGCAAACAGUUUUCAAGAGAAAGUGUGUGUGAUUGUUCAUUGAUCCAACACGGUUUAUUCCUAGAAACUGUGUGCGUUGUCCGAGGUUAUCUCCCAUGGUAUUUUUUCAACAACCGUUUGCAAUAGAAAAACCAAUUAGGAGGCUAAUUAUCCUAUUAUUCAUAAUCCAUUUAUUAAUCUAAUUGACAGUUCAUAUUAAGCACACAAUAUAUUUCAUUUUCAUAAUUGAAAUACAUCAGAGUACAACAUCAUAUAGCUUCAGCACUCGGCUACCCCAUUACACAACUACACUAGGACCAAGUUUCACAUGCAACAUCUAUAACCUUUCAAAAUUAGCAUCAUAGACGGUACAUAGACAGAUGUAUCUCAUCUGGAAAACUACUGAAGCAGAAGGCGAAUAUUGAGCCUUCAUUGAUGUUGAAGGUCUUUGUAACUUUAGGCCGGUGCCUGUGGAUGAUUGACCGUCCAUCCUUCCUCCUCUUCAGGAACACUUCAAUAUUGAGUUGUGGGUGUUGUAUAAAUGCCUUCCUUCCUCCUGACCAUACAGGUGGUUUGAGAUGUAAUCAUUAGUGAACUACUUUGGAAAGGCCUGAAAAUAAGGAUGUGCAUAAAUAUCCUCUCUAUAUUGGAAAUGGGGCAAAGGAAUAAAAAAGGCAAGGUAUAAUAGUCAGUAUCGUCCUAUAGUGAACUGAUAUCUUCUUCAUUGCGCAGACAAAUAUCUUUUUGUUUUUUGUCGCUAAUUUCUUUAUCCUAACAAUCUUUCUAAGUUUCUUGACUUGACUGAUAUUCAUGGACAACUCAUUUCCCCAUAUGCAAAAAGGGUCGAACAGUGGGUCAAAACCUCCGACAGCAGGACCUACAUGUGCAAGACCAAAUUGUUAAAAACCUAAAUAUUAGAAUGGUUCUUGCAAUUGCACAAUAAUGUGCUAUUAGAUAAUGGACCAUGCACGUGCUAACCUCGAUUGUAAACAUCGGUCCUUCCCAUUGUUUCCCUGCAACACAUAUAAGGUAGUUAGUCAUCAGGUUAAGUAAGGGUUCGCAUGCUAUCAGUAAAAUAUGUUGAUGAAAAAUAAUCACAUUGCAGAUUCAUCAGUUUAAUUGAAGCCGCACGGAAAACCCAUUUAUCCAAACCAAGCAUGAUUAAGAACUAGGAAAUAUAGCACUUGUAUAUGUUUCUCAUGUAUUAAGUGCAGCCAAAUUCGAUUUAUUCCUCACAUGCACAACAAUACAAAAUUCUACCGAUGACAAUUGGACAUUGCAUUGAAGAAUUGAACCAAGAAGUUAACUAAACACCACAACAAAUGAACCAGACAUUAACUGCGCACCACAUUGCACAAUAUAACAUACUCCUAAUAGAAGAUCAAACAGUUAACCAAACAGUUAACUACAGCCAGUUGUAGCAAUUGUAUUUGUUUCUCAUGUAUUUACUACAGCCAAAUUCAAUUUAUUCCUCGCAUGGUAUACAAUAACAGAAUGCACCCACAAUUUUGUAAAGAUAAAUUCGAUUUAUUUCUCACAUGGAAGACAAUACAAAAUUGCAGCCUGAAGAAUUGAACAUCACAUUUGCAGAAUUGAACCAAACAGUUAACUGAAGAUGACAACUAAUUAACAAAACAGUUAAUAAGUGAGCACCACACUGCACGACAUAUAGAACAUAUACACUAGAGCAACAGAUUGCAUGGUAAAAUUAGAUAGCACAAUGCACUAGAAUUUGUGAAGGAAAGGCAGGAGCAGCACACACAACGGGUAAACCGAGCAUGCUUAACUGACGUAGCUAGCAAAUGGCAAGGUGCUCCUUCAAGAUCUGGGGGUCGGCAUGAAUGGCAGCCAUCGCGACCUUAUCUGCGCGUGCGGCCGCGAUUCGCUUCUCUGCUGCCAAAUGCUCCUUGAGGCCCUGGCUAUAUUGUGUGCACCAUGGCUUAGGCCAGUGCUUAUUUGGUGGAGGGGUUGGUGAUUUGGGUGGAAGGUGUCGCGCUCGCGCCGGCGAUAGGGGCAUGUGGGAUGUGGAAGGAGGAGGAGGAGGAGGAUGGGGGUCGGGUGUGGAUUGCCUGCCUGGAUAGGCGAGGCCGAGGAGCGUGAAGGAGGGUCGCCGGCGAGGAGGCGGCGGCGCUGCAAGCAAGGAGUGAAGGUUUCAACUUGGAAAGGAAGGCGGAAAGAGGGGAAAUGUGGCUUUUGGUAAGCGGGGGGGGGGAGGUAGAUAUUUCCACGAAGAUGAAAAUUUGGAAUCGCUUCAGCCAAAAAACUGGCGUGCAAAGUGUCAUCAGACACGGUCCCUUAUUCAGACAUGGUCUGAAGAUAUUUUGUGCUGCAUCUCACAUGGUCGGUUAUAAUAAACUGUGUGGGAUCUACUUGAUUUUUCGUCUUGAUUUAAAUUACAUAAUGGGGUCACAGCGGCCAUGGAUGGUGUUUGAAUUGUUAGACCCUUUAUCUGCAGUGAUCAUAAAAGAAUUGGAAUUAUUCAGGGUUUGUUUGGACAUUUUUAUGCAUUAAGUGAGUUUUCAAUGCAUUUAUGUGCAUAAUUCAAAUUUUAACUACAUACACGUGUUCCAAUGCAUUUAAAUUCUUUAAAAAUCAAAUAUUUGUCCUUGGGUGCAUGCUUAGGUCCCAUGCAAGAAAUGGGUAUGAAUUUCAAACACCAUGGCACCGUUGAUUGCCGGCAAAACAUUGAGAUGCCUAGUUUUAAAAUUCUAGUAAAUCCAAAACUCGUCUGAAAUUCAUGAAACUUGGCAUGCUACCAUGGAGCGGCAUCAACAUGUCAUGGUAAAAAAUUUGUCCCAUUUGGGGCAGGUUUGGGUAUAUGCUUCUCACAACAAGCAUGAUGGUUUUCGGUAGGGAACGUCCCACCUUUGGGGACGAAACGAUAUCCAUUGCCUCUUAUUGCUUUCAAAAAAAUUUCUCGCGUCAACAUAGAACAACAGGAGUGUUGUGUGAAUUUUUGUGAUUUUUCGGGGUUCGUUUGGACAUUUUUAUGCAUUAAGUGAGUUUUCAAUGCAUUUAUGUGCAUAAUUCAAAUUUGAACUACAUGCACAUGCUCCAGUGCAUAUAAAUUGGUUGAAAAAUCAAAUCUGUGUCCUUGGGUGCAUGCUUAGGUCCCAUGCAAGUAAUGGGAAUGAAUUUCAAACACCAAGGCACCGUUGAUUGCCGGCAAAACAUUGAGAUGACUGGUUUUUAAAUUCUAGUAAACCCAAAACUCGUCUGAAAUUCAUGAAACUUGGCAUGCUAUCAUGGAGCGGCAUCAACAUGUUGUGGUAAAAGUUUUGUCCCAUUUGGGGCUGGUUUGGGUAUAUGCUUCUCACAAACCGGAGCUUCUCACAACAAGCAUGAUGGUUUUCGGUAGGGAACGUCCCACCUUUGGGGACAAAGCAAUAUCCAUUGCCUCUUAUUGCUUUCAAAUUUUUUCUCGUGUCAACAUAGAAUAACAUGAGUGUUGUGUGAAUUUUUAUGAUUUUUCGGGGUUCUUUGGACAUUUUUAUGCAUUAAGUGAGUUUUCAAUGCAUUUAUGUGCAUAAUUCAAAUUUGAAGUACAUGCAUAUGCUCCAGUGCAUAUAAAUUGGAUGAAAAAUCAAAUAUGUGUCCUUGGGUGCAUGCUUAGGUCCCAUGCAAGAAAUGGGAAUGAAUUUCAAACACCAGGGCACCAUUGAUUGCCGGGAAAACAUUGAGAUGCCUAGUUUUUAAAUUCUAGUAAAUCCAAAACUUGUCUAAAAUUCAUGAAACUUGGCAUGCUAUCAUGAAGCGGCAUCAACAUGCCAUGAUAAAAGUUUUGUCCCAUUUGGGGGCAGGUUUGGGUAUACGCUUCUCACAAACCGGGGCUUCUCACAACAAGCAUGAUGGUUUUCGGUAGGGAACGUCCCACCUUUGGGGACGAAAUGAUAUCCAUUGCCUCUUAUUUCUUUCAAAAAAAUUCUCGUGUCAACAUAGAAAAACAGGAUUGUUGUGUGAAUUUUUGUGAUUUUUCGGGGUUCGUUUGGACAUUUUAAUGCACUAAAUGAGUUUUCAGUGCAUUUAUGUGCAUAAUUCAAAUUUGAACUACAUGCACAUGCUCGAGUAUAUAUAAAUUGGUUAAAAAACAAAAUAUGUGUCCUUGGGUGCAUGUUUAGGUCCCAUGCAAGAAAUGGGAAAGAAUUUUAAACACCAGGGCACCGUUGAUUGUCGGAAAAACAUUGAGAUGCCUGGUUUUUAAAUUCUAGUAAAUCCAAAACUCGUCUGAAAUUCAUGAAACUUGGCAUGCUAUGAUGGAGCGGCAUCAACAUGCCGUGGUACAAAUUUUGUCCCAUCUGGGGCAGGUUUGGGUAUAUGCUUCUCACAAACCGGAGCUUCUCACAACAAGCAUGAUGGUUUUCGGUAGGGAACAUCCCACCUUUGGGGACGAAACGAUAUCCAUUGCCUCUUAUUGCUUUCAAUUUUUUUUCUCGUGUCAACAUAGAACAACAGGAGUGUUGUGUGAAUUUUUGUGAUUUUUCAGGGUUCGUUUCGACAUUUUUAUGCAUUAACUGAGUUUUCAAUGCAUCUAUGUGCAUAAUUCAAAUUUGAACUACAUGCACAUGCUCCAGUGCAUAUAAAUUGGUUGAGAAAAUCAAAUUUGUGUCCUUGGGUGCAUGCUUAGGUCCCAUGCAAGAAAUGGGAAUGAAUUUCAAACACUAGGGCACCGUUGAUUACCGGCAAAACAUUGAGAUGCCUGGUUUUUAAAUUCUAGUAAAUCCAAAAUUUUGUUAACCAUUCACGUGACACUACGUUUCUUGGUUUUAAUGGCUGUAGGAGGUGUUGUGCGGACAGCUGCUUGACCUUGACUGAACGAGAGGCGUGCGAGCGACGUCCAGUGCGCAGGCUGACCGAGAGGCAUGCAAGCUAUCCUCGAGUGUGUAGGCUCACCGGGAAGCGUGCAAGUUGUAUGCUACGCAGGCUCACUGGGAAGUGAGCCCUUUGACUUCCAUGGCCGCCCGCCUUGCUUGCAUCCUCUCCAUUAAUGGCACCCAAGCCGCAGUUUAAUUCGCUUUUUUAAUAUAAAACACUCAUCGCUAACGUUUUAGUUAGAACACCCGUAUGCAAACCGAUAGCUUCCCCAGGAAGCCAAGAGAAAAUGUGCCGAGUAGGAUUUCUGCAACUCUUGAUCGCAAACGUUUUAGAUAGACACCCGUAUGCAAAGUGAGAGCAGCGCAUGAUUUGUGCAUCCCUUCAACGCAAAUGGAUGUUUUGGAUGACCCGUGUGCAACCACGUACAAACAAUUUGGUAAUAUUUGCAUCUGUCAUAUUGGGUAUGUUGCCAUUUCUCAAACUGGAAAAUUUGCAUUUGUUGAUCUAGUAAUGCUGCCAUUUGUCAAUCCUUGUGACACUGUGAUUUGUCAAAAUAUGCAGCUAGAAAUCAUUAGCCCUAUGUAAUUUUUGCAACUAAAAUUCAGUCAUUAAGCAUAGGUUUCAUUCAUAGAUUAAGCAGUCGUUCUUAAUUUAUACAAAUAGUUCAACUCGACAGUUGAACUAACCAAACUUCUCCCCAAUUGUUGCCAACCACAUACUAAAAUAGCUAGUUCAACUAUAUAUACUAGCUAAUUUUACGUACGAUGUACAGUUCGACCACACAUCUAUAGUCAGAUGAACUGAACAAAAUAGCCCCUAAAUACUACUACUACCACGGAGGGGCUUUGUGCUACUUCCGACAGCCUCUCCUCUGCUGAGCGUGCUCAACAAGAGGCAAAGGAGGAGGAGCCUACCGACGAGCUGGACAAAUGCAAUACGGUGCCUGCCGCUGCUGCACGUUCAGCAACGCUCGCCAGCUCGAACGCCCACUGCCGCUCCAGACGAUCCCUCUGGAAGCGGCCGAACUGCUCAUAGAUCUCCCGAUUCCUUGCCUCUGCUUCGGCAUGUGCUGUGGCCAUGGCUGCAGUAAGGCUCUUUGCGUGCUCGGCGAGGCGCUCCUCCUCCUCCCACGGGAACUCGAUGUAGCGCGCAAGGUCGCUGACGCAUGUGCGGGCCUCCACCUCCACCUCCCUCCUUCGACGGCGGUGGCGGAGCGGUCGACGGUGGGCUGGUGGCCACGGUGGCCGACGAUGGGGUGGCGGCCACGACCACCACCUCCUGCCUUCAGGCCGCAGUGGCGGAGCGGAUGAUGGCCAUGGUGGCCAGCAAUGGGAUGGCGACCACGACGGCCACCUCCCGCCUUUGGGCCAUGGCGGUAAAGCGGGAGAUGGCCCUGGCUUUCGACGAUGGUGUGGCGGCAACGGCGGCCGACAACAGCUGCCGACGGGCAGCGGCGAUGGAGCAUGUGGUGGGUGUUCCGCGCACACCCAACAAGCACGCCACGCGCACUACACUACGCUAGGGACUACGCCGCCGCCGUGGUAUAGCCUCCCAGCUGGAGCUAUCCUCUGAUGAUGGUGGAGUGGCUGAGCGACGACGACGGACCGGUGCCAUUGGAGAUUGUGGGAGAAGCAGACGAGAUAAGCUACAGGGAGGGAGGGGAAAAUGCGACGUAGGACUCACCGGCCAUGAGGGUUUUUAUAGAAGGCCAACAAGCAUUGGGAUUUUGGGGAAUUUCACCGAGUCGGGCGGGAACCUACGAGGUUGCGUGGGAACGGGCUCAUCGAGGAUUCAUUGGCGCCACCGUUUUGCCAAAAGAACGCCCCUGCGCACUGCUCAAGCUUGCGUUGUAAGCCGUCUGCGGCAGCGGGGUGACAAGACGUGCGAGAGGAGGACGAGAGGACACAUACACAUACAGCUAAUAAAAAAACGUUUGCGAUUUAAUUACAUACUAUACCCCCGUCCUGGUUUAUAAGUAGGAUUUAACUAAUAAAAUAUGAAUGCAUGUCGCCAUAGAUUAUAUCGUUGGAGUCGUAUUUGAACAUAGUUUCCAGCUAUACAAUUUUUGUAACAUGCAUUAACUCUUUUUUGGUUAAAUUUAAGGUUAUACACCAGCAAGCGUUUGCCCGCAACACACACGGCUUAUUCCAUCACAAAUAGCUCUGAUGGAUCAACUGUCUGCCACAUAUCGCACACGCAACUCUAAUCUGAUUCGUGCUUGAUGUCUCCGACAUCACUCGCACAGUUCAUCUUAUUUGCCAUGUAUCACUGUGUCGUCCUCUGCUCGCGUCCCUUGGCAAGCUCUGCUCGCCGUUAGGCGCCGCAGCGCGCUAUGCUCGCUAUUAGGCGCCGCAGCGUGCUAUGCUCGCCAUUAGGUGCUGCAGCACGCUCUGUCGCGUCCGUUGGCGCGCUCUGCUCGCGUCGGUCGAAGCGCUCGGCUUGUGGACAACUUUUCCUUGAGGCGACGUGGAGUGCUCUGCUAGCGUCCCUCCGCACACUCUGCCAGCGCUUGGGCGUGCGCAUGAUCAUGUCGGGGGCCCCAUAUGCAUGCGGUUGCACCGCACGCGUUGCCACAUGAUGCAGUUACGUGCGGCAUGAUGGAGUUACACGCUGCAAAUUAGAACUGCCAUUAGGGCCUGCUGAUAUUCCUGGCCGUCCGGCUUCCCCUUUAAUUCCUGUAGCCAUUAUUACCUUAGUCUCUUCAACCUUUCGAUCGCGCCCCACAACACAACAAGCACACCCACGACAACACAUAGAGAGGGGAUGUCCGACAAUGCUCCAAUGGAGUUCCGCGAGCAUAGAGUGGAGACCCACGCAAGGGAGACAUAUCUCUCGGUGGUGUACACCAUCGACCCGGCCGUGGUGGACGACUACAUCAACAGCUUUGAGCAGUUGCUUGCUGGAGACAAGUACAAGGUGGUCGGCAUUGACCUCCGGUACAUCGCCGGUCGUCCCGACAUAGAUCAGAAGGUUGUCGUUGCCCAGUUGUGUGUGCGCCAUCAUGUCCUCAUCUACCACUACUGCAUGGCCAUAGAGCCUUGCGACCGUUUCAACAGGUUUGUCAACAGCACCGACUACAAGUUCGCCACGGUGGAUACCAAAGACGAUGUAAAAGCACUCAGUGUUAUGGGCUUGGCAUGCAAGAACCUUGUCUAAAUCCGUGACAACUACAGGGUCGGGGGCAACACGAAGCAGGACUCCCUGGUCGAACUCACCUCGGCCAUCAUCGACCCCUACUACAAAAAGAUGAAGCAGGAUGCCUAGAGAACAAGUCAUGUAUCCUGGCACAAGUCCUGGAUGCAGCAACUGGAUGAACCUCACCUCAGGUUUGCGGCCAAGAGAUUGUACACAUGCUACGAGAUGCACAGGCGGAUCGUUGACAUGAGGAAGUGCCUCCUUACCCAAAUCGACGAGCCUCGAUCGAGCCACAAGCAGAGCAAGCGUCACAAGAAGUAGAUGUUGAUCAGAUGAUCAUUUAUGCUAGUUAAUCAUGCAUGUAAUAUAUAGAUUACUUUAUUGGUGUGUGUGGAAAUGCGAUGUGUGUAGUAGCCACCUAUGUAAUUAUGCAUGUAAUAGUUUACUUUGGUGUGUGCAAAUGCCAUGGUUGUAGUACCCACCUAUGUAAGUGGAUGUUUAAUUUGGUUAUGCAAGCAUGUCCUUAUAAGUGUGUGUGUGUAUAUAUGUUGUUGUUCUGUAUGCAAUCCCAUCGCACAACACACACGUCUUAUUAGCAGCAACCGUCUGUGUUAUUAUCGGUCUUCACACACAUUUUUGAUUACAGACCUGUUUGCCGUGUAUCACACACAUCUUGUUAAGUUGAAUCAUUUUUGUUCUCAUGUCUCAACGCAAACAGUUCAUCCGAGUGAACCGCAUGUUGUAUAUCACACACGCCUUGAUCUGGCUAACCGUUUCUUUUGUGUUGCCUAAUCACAAAUAGUUCAUCCGAGUGAACCGUAUGUUGUGUAUCACACACACCUUCAUCUGGCUGCUUGUUUCUCUUGUUCCUUCCCAUCGCAAAUAGUUAAUUGAACUGAACCAUAUGCCCUUCAUCGCACACGCAACUAAAACCCGAACCGUGUUUGAUGCAUCCAUCAUCGCAAAUGUUUUACACAUUUCUAACGGUUUUCAUACAACAUCGUUUGUGAUUAUUGCAUUGCACACAGUUUCUCGAAGGGUCUCUAAUCGUAGUGUUGCGUUAGCAGCAUCCUGCAGUAGUGCUUGCUUCACUUAUAUCUAUUUAGAGAGUUGACAUGAAUUGGUCAUUCACAUGGUUAGUCAUUAAAUCCUACAUAAAACUUGUAGAUCACUGAAUAUGAUAUGUUUGAUUCCUUACAAUAUUUUUGCAAUAUAAAGAUGGUGAUAUUAGAGUCAUGCUAUUGUGUAGUUGUGGAUUGUAGAAAUACUUGUGUUGAAGUUUGUGAUUCCCGUAGCAUGCACGUAUGGUGAACCGUUAUGUAACGAAGUUGGAGCAUGGGGUAUUUAUUCAUUGUCUUCCUUAUGAGUGGCGGUCGGGGACGAGCGAUGGUCUUUUCCUACCAAUAUAUCCCCCUAGGAGCAUGUGCGUAGUACUUUGUUUCGAUAACUAAUAGAUUUUUGCAAUAAGUAUGUGAGUUCUUUAUGACUAACGUUGAGUCCAUGGAUUAUACGCACUCUCACCCUUCCAUCAUUGCUAGCCUCUUCGAUACCAUGCAUUGCCCUUUCUCACCUUGAGAGUCGGUACAAACUUUUCUGGUGCAUCCAAACCCCGUGAUAUGAUACGCUCUAUCACACAUAAGCCUCCUUAUAUCUUCCUCGAAACAGCCACCAUACCUACCUAUAAUGGCAUUUCCAUAGUCAUUCCGAGAUAUAUUGCCAUGCAACUUCCAUCAUCAUCAUAUACAUGACUUGAUCAUUUUUUGUCAUAUUGCUUUGCAUGAUCAUAAGAUAGCUAGCAUGAUGUUUUCAUGGCUUGUCCGUUUUUUGAUUCCAUUGCCAUGCUAGAUCAUUGCAUAUCUCGGUACACCGCCUGAGGCAUUCAUAUAGAGUCAUAUCUUUGUUCUAGUAUCGAGUUGUAAUAUUAAGUUCUAAGUAAAUAAAAGUGUGAUGAUCAUCAUUAUUAGAACAUUGUCCCAUGUGAGGUUAUCAAAAUAAAAGUGGCCAGAGAAGCCCCCCAAAAAGAGAGAGAGAGAGGCCAAAUAAGCCUACAAAACAAGAAAAAAAUGAGAGAAAAGAGAGAAAAGAGAGAAGGGACAAUGUUACUAUCCUUUUACAACACUUGUGCUUCAGAGUAGCACCAUGUUCUUCAUAUAGAGAGUCUCUUCAGCUAUCACUUUCAUAUACUAGUGGGAAUUUUCAUUAUAGAACUUGGCUUGUAUAUUCCAAUGAUGGGCUUCCUCAAGUGCCCUAGGUCUUCAUGAGCAAGCAAGUUGGAUGCACACCCACUUAGUUUCAGUUUGAGCUUUCAUACACUUAUAGCUCUAGUGCAUCUGUUGCAUGGCAAUCCCUACUCCUCGCAUUGACAUCAAUUGAUGAGCAUAUCCAUAGCCCUUUGAUUAGCCGCGUCGAUGUGAGACUUUCUCCCUUUUUGUGUUCUCCACACAACCUCCAUCAUCAUAUUCUAUUCCACCUAUAGUGCUAUAUCCAUGGAUCACGCUCAUGUAUUGCGUGAAAGUUUAAAAGGUUUGAGAACAUCAAAAGUAUGAAACAAUUGCUUGGCUUGUCAUCGGGGUUGUGCAUGAUUUGAAUAUUUUGUGUGAUGAAGAUGGAGCAAAGCCAGACCAUAUGAUUUUGUAGGGAUAACUUUCUUUGGCCAUGUUAUUUUGAAAAGACAUGAUUGAUUUAUUAGUAUGCUUGAAGUAUUAUUGUCUUAAUGUCAAAUGAUAGACUAUUGCUUUGAAUCACUCGUGUCUUAAUAUUCAUGCCAUGAUUAGAUUACAUGAUUAAGAUUAUGCUAGGUAGCAUUCCGCAUCAAAAAUUAUCUUAUUUAUCAUUUACCUACUCGAGGACUAGCAUGAAUUAAGCUUGGGGAUGCUGAUGCGUCUCCAUUGUAUCUAUAAUUUUUGAUUGUUCCAUGCCAAUAUUCUACAACUUUUACAUACUUUUGGCAACUUUUUAUACUAUUUUUGGGACUAACAUAUUGAUCCAGUGCCCAGUGCCAGUUCCUGUUUGUUGCAUUUUUUGUUUCAGAGUCCAAGCGGGAUAAAAACUUAUGAAGAUUGUUUUGGAAUAUAUGUGAACUUUGGGAAGUGGAAUCAAUGCGAGACGAUGCCCAAGGGGCCCACGAGGGUGAGGGGCACGCCCCAGGGGGUAGGGCGCGCCCUAGUCCCUCAUGGCCACUCUGUAAGGCGGUUGCUGCCCUUCUUUCACCACAAUAAAGCCAAUAUCCGGAUAAAAAACAUGUCGAAAUUUCAGCCCAAUCGGAGUUACGAAUCUCUAGGAAUUUAAGAAACGGUGAAAGGACAGAAUCGAGGAGCGCAUAAACAGAAGGAAACACACACACAGAGAGAGAGAGAGAGAGAGAGAGAGAGAGAGAUCCAAUCUCGCAGGGGCUCUCCCCACUCCACCGCCAUGGAGGCCAUACACCAGAGGGGAAACCCUUCUCCCAUCUAGGGGAAAGGUCAAGGAAGAAGAAGAAGAAGAAGAAGAAGAAGAAGAAGAAGAGGGGGUGAUCUCUCUCCCUCUCUCCCGGUGGCGCCGGAACGCCGCCGGGGCCAUCAUCGCGACAACGAUCUACACCAACAACUUCACCACCGUCAUCACCAACUCUCCCCCCCCCUCUAUGUAGCGGUGUAACCCCUCUUUUACCCGCUUUAAUCUCUACUUAAACAUGGUGCUCAACGCUAUAUAUUAUUUCCCAAUGAUGUAUGGCUAUCCUAUGAUGUUUGAGUAGAUCCGUUUUGUCCUAUGGGGUUAAUUGAUGAUUGUGAUUGGUUUGAUUUGCAUGUUUUAUUAUUGGUGUUGUCCUAUGGUGCUCUCCGUGUCGCGCAAGUGUGAGGGAUCACCGCUGUAGGGUUUGCAAUAUGUUCGUGAUUUGCUUAUGGUGGGUGGCAUGAGUGACAGAAGCACAGACCCGAGUAAGUAGGUUGUUUGCAUAUGGGAGUAAAAGAGGACUUGAUGCCUUAUAAUGCUAUGGUUGGGUUUUACCUUAAUGAUCUUCAGUAGUUGUGGAUGCUUGCUAGAGUUCCAAUCAUAAGUGCAUAUGAUCCAAGAAGAGAAAGUAUGUUAGCUUAUGCCUCUCCCUCAAAUAAAAUUGCAAUAACGAUUACCGGUCUAGUUAUCGAUUGUCCAGGGACA